AACGCGAAGAACCUUACCCAGACUUGACAUGCAGUGGACAGUUCCAGAGAUGGAAUCUUCCUUCGGGACCGCUGCACAGGUGCUGCAUGGCUGUCGUCAGCUCGUGCCGUGAGGUGUUGGGUUAAGUCCCGCAACGAGCGCAACCCUUAUCAUUAGUUGCCAACAUUUAAGGUGGGAACUCUAAUGAGACUGCCUGGGUUAACCAGGAGGAAGGUGAGGAUGACGUCAAGUCCGCAUGGCCCUUAUGUCUGGGGCUACACACGUGCUACAAUGGUCGGUACAGAAGGCAGCGAAACCGUGAGGCGAAGCAAAUCCCUAAAACCGGCCUCAGUUCAGAUUGUAGUCUGCAACUCGACUACAUGAAGACGGAAUUGCUAGUAAUGGCGAGUCAGCAACAUCGCCGUGAAUACGUUCCCGGGUCUUGUACACACCG
Molecule: ribosomal RNA, 433 nt
Filed under: uncultured bacterium
Lineage: Bacteria
Description: bacterial SSU rRNA
Rfam family: Bacterial small subunit ribosomal RNA
Source: RNAcentral